ACCGCACAUGCUCAAAUGGCCUCUGCAAGACCCAAGUCUAGAUUUUCCCCUGAUCUAGGGAGUCAGAAGAAUGCAAAGUUGUUGGCAAGGGACCCGAGCAUUUUUUAAAAAGAUAUAAAUGGCACAAAACAGAGAGCUCCAAGAAGGCUUGGAAUAGUUUCCAUUUUAUUAUCCACACAAAUGUAUGAGGCAGAAAUCCAUGAGGUAAUCACAAACCAGUGAUUUGGGGAAGCCUCAUCUGUUGAAUAUCUGUCUGGAUUGAUCCCUUCCCAGCCCAAGUUUGACCUGAAAGACGAAGACAAGGUAUAGGUGCAUGAAGACUGUACAAAGACUUUACUGCUUACAUAGAGCAGAAGGUAACCACCUUAACUUGCAAUUUCCAUGCUUUUUUAGAGCAUGAAUGAAAACUGUAAGCACCUUAAUUCUCAUGCUAAAGUGAUCGUUUUUGUGUUUCUCUGUGUGUAUUACAGUUUUAUCCCUAUCAUUUUGCAGCACUUUAGAAUGUCUAAACCCUUCACCUAUAUUAUCUUGAAUAUACGCAGGAGUGUGUUUUCCAGCUUAAAACAAAGUUAGAUGGAGAUUGUCAGAAUUAAACAAUAAUCCCCAUCGCACUUUGAGGUCAUCUAGAGAGGUCUGUCUCCAGUUACUACCAAUACGUCUGGUGGCGACUUGGAACUGGGCCUUCUCUGUAGCUGCUCCUAGUCUAUGGAAUGCACUUCCGGCAGAUAUCUGCAUUUUAGGCUCGCUGUUGGCCUUUAAGAGACUUACUUGUUUGGCCUGACCUUCCAAGGUUUUAAAAUUGUUUUUAAGUUUUUUAAUUGGUUUUAAAUUGUGUUAAAAUUGUUUUUAUAUUGUUUUAAGUAGUGUGUUUUAAAUGAUGUUUGUUUUUAUGUUUUUUAAACUAGUUGUACACUGCCCAGAGCCUCUGGAUCGGGUGGUUUAUAAAUGUAUUAAAUAAAACCAUCAUCAUCGACAACAUAAAUGGGCCAAUUCGACUCAUCUGUUAAAAAAUUGAGAAUAUCCCUGCAGACAAAUUUUUGGAAUACCAACAGCUAUGAGUCAUACUAAGUGGGACUUCCAUAUUCAGAAGCACUAGCUUACAUGUACCACAGCACAACAUGGGCAUUGCAGAACCACCUUCGCUGCUGUGGGGCUCUAACACAUGCGGUGAUAGUGUCUUGCACAAAUUGCAUGUUACACACUAUUUCCAUUGGGAAUAAUGUUAGCUGUGUAUGUCAUGAUAUCACUCAGGUGGAGAAUAAUUCUUGUACUGCCAUUCUGCACAACACAGUCACUGCAUGUAUUCCAGCCCAGCAGCAAUACAAGUGGUUCUGCAAUGCCCAAACUACGAUGUGGGACAUAUAAGUCAGUAUUCAUCUAACAUCUGAUUCUGGGGACAUAAAAUGGGAAAUGCUCUAUAAUAAUCUUUUAAUGCCUAUUGACUAUUUUAACAAUUUUGCAAAUGAGUGCUCAGUGUAAUUUAAAAGUGAAAAACAACACCGAGUUCCAAUGUGGGGGAGGGAUUUAGUACAAUCAUUUUUACAAUAGCCCUGCACUGCUCUUCACUAAAGAACCAACACAGAUUCAUACAGAAAAUCUACUUCAUGUUUCCCUUACUUCAGAAGGAAACUAGAUCAUCAAUUCAAAAGGAAGUAACUGAGUUCAGAGGAACAGUAUGGGUACACUGCAGAUAGCUAUCAAUGCCAACAUUAAUUCACAACCUUUUAGAAGGAAUUAUGGGUAGCUCCUCCACACUGGUUUUAUGUUGCUAAAUUUAUGUUAUUGUAAUCCCAUAAGUCUGAGUUGUCUCUUGCUAAGAUCUAUUUGAGAUUUCUCCUUUUAAAAAUGGCUCAGUGGGCUGAUCCUGUGAUUGCCUUUGAGCAAGCGGAUUUUAGAGCUCAUAGGUAAUCCAGAGACCAGAUUUUUAUACUAGCUGCCUUGGGAGCACUGGGCUCGCCUGCAAGCCCGGUGGUUCCCACGAUCCCUAGAAAGCAGGCUAAGCUCUCUUAGCCCGCUUUCCAGUGAUUGUGGGAAUAGCCUCUCUAUCUUGCAUCAUGUUUAAAAGGCAAUAAUUUUGUAUUGGUUCACAGUAGAAUAGCGUAGAAGAUUCUUCGCUAUUGAGUAUCACCUGGAAAGAAAUCCAGUGAUUUUCUCUUUAUAGUUCCUGGGAUACCCUAGUAAAAAUUUGUCUGGAUGAGUUUGGGGUUUUUUUUUGGGGGGGGGGCGUCUUUUGAUCAUGAGAAUGUUUCCUUGCAAUGGCUAGAGACUUACCAAAACUGCUAAAGUUUUGGUAAACUUUACUCUUUGGAGGAAGGUGAUGAUGGAUGAUCUGUGUAAUACAAGAAAGCUAUGUUAUUUAAAAUGUUAUGAAAUUUUAAGCUUUUUAUUGGUCCUGCUCCUUACUUACAGAAGUAUAUUUUAAAACAUUAAAAUGCAUUUAAAAUGCAGGCAAUUUGUUGUAAAAUCUGUCCAAAGAGAAUUAUUUCAGAAGGGGAAUCCUCCAAAUGUGUAUGUGCUCAUGCACACGAUGAGGAUAUGAUAUACUAUUUCUUAAGUUUUCAAUUUCUGUCUGAGUAUAGGAAUAGACAUCUUUCUUUUUUUAAAUGCAGACCUAUGAGUUUCAUUAUUAUCUUGUUGCAAGAUGAUGAUAUCCUUAAAGUUAUUCGAGUAGCUACAUUUGUUCAUGCUGCUGAAAAGGUGAAGAAAAUCCUCUUGGCUGUUUGGCGAUAUCGAUUGAUAAAUAUUUUAAUUUACAUCUGAUUUUAAUGUUUUCAACACACUUUUAAAACUUAUUUAUCUAUUGUUCUUUUUAAAAGAAAUUGUAAUAUUUUUUAUGUGAAACAACAAUGGCUGUGCAACAAUGUUCUAUCCUAUCCUAUGUUGUUGUAAUAGCAAUUGUUUUAAUAGCAAUUCAAAAUAUGUAAAUUGUAUUUAGAGGAACAGAACCAGAUAUUGUAGUCCUCUAAAUACCAACAUCAGUGCCAACAUUAGACCCACCUGCCUUCCUCCAUCACUUUUGCCAGCAUUCCAAAGGAUCAAUAAGAGGACCCUCUUUCAUAGGGCAGAGUGCCUGAUAAGUGGGGAAUCCCCACUAUAUGAUUGACUGCUGAAUUUUCAUAUUUAUUUAUUUAUUUAGCUAUUGGUUUGCUUUGCUAUUGGUUUUAUUUUGACUGUUUCAGUUAUUUAUCAUUGUUCCUUUUUAAAUGUUUGUUUUGAUUGUAGCUCUGAUUGUCUGCACAGGUAGAACAAGGGGUAUAGACAUCUUUUAAUAAACAAACAAGCAUUAGCAACAUUUAAGAAGGAACCAUUAGUCUAAGAUUGCUAAGUGUACUACUAUGACUACUACAAACAUUUAUAUACUGACUAAGUGUACAUCUUCUUCAUCAUGAACCCCACCGCCCAUUGAGAUCUUCAGGAGAGGUCCGUCUGCAUUUGCCAGCAGCUCGUCUGGUGGCUACUCGGGGACGGGCCUUCUCCGUUGCUGCCCCGAUGCUUUGGAAUGCGCUCCCUGCUGAAAUAAGGGCCUCCCCAUCUCUGACAAUUUUUAAAAAAUCUUUAAAGACACAUUUGUUCACCCAGGCUUUUAAUUAAAUGCCAUUUAAAUAGUUUUAACUUUGUUUUAAAAUAUUGUUUUAAGGUUUUAAAUUGUUGUAAUGUUUUAACUUUUUGCUGUCAUUUCUUUUAACCAAUGUUUUUAAUUUCUUGGUUGUCAUUUACCUGUUUUAACUACUGUUUUAACUUUUCUGUUUUUGUUGUAAACCGCCCAGAGACGUAAGUUUUGGGCAGUAUAAAAAUAUGUUAAAUAAAAUAAAUAAACAAAGCCCCUUC
Molecule: long non-coding RNA, 3828 nt
Organism: Hemicordylus capensis (graceful crag lizard)
Lineage: Eukaryota; Metazoa; Chordata; Lepidosauria; Squamata; Cordylidae
Exons: 2
Source: RefSeq, a predicted model, not a curated record